CCUACGGGUGGCAGCAGUAGGGAAUAUUGCUCAAUGGGGGAAACCCUGAAGCAGCAACGCCGCGUGGAGGAUGAAGGUUUUCGGAUUGUAAACUCCUUUUGUUAGAGAAGAUAAUGACGGUAUCUAACGAAUAAGCACCGGCUAACUCCGUGCCAGCAGCCGCGGUAAUACGGAGGGUGCAAGCGUUACUCGGAAUCACUGGGCGUAAAGAGCGCGUAGGCGGGAUAGCAAGUCAGAUGUGAAAUCCUAUGUCUUAACCAUAGUACUGCAUUUGAAACUGUUAUUCUAGAGUAUGGGAGAGGUAGGUGGAAUUCUUGGUGUAGGGGUGAAAUCCGUAGAGAUCAAAAGGAAUACUCAUUGCGAAGGCAACCUACUAGGACGGAACUGACGCUGAUGCGCGAAAGCGUAGGGAGCAAACAGGAUUAGAUACCCCUGUAGUC
RNAcentral lists this ribosomal RNA (440 nucleotides) under uncultured bacterium. RNAcentral's name for it is "partial 16S ribosomal RNA". It matches the Rfam family "Bacterial small subunit ribosomal RNA", at positions 338 to 795 of the family's 1533-position model. The record is from RNAcentral.